CGUUGUGGAUUUCAUCUACGACGGUCUGAAUUGAUGGGUUAGCUUAAUUUGGGGUUCGGAGUUUGGUGAAUUUGAGGAAGUCGUGAACUCAAUUAGAGAUGGAACCAUGGUGAAACUGGCGGAACCAUCACCGCCCUUUCGGCCUACAUGGAGCCCGGCGAUGCCAUCAUCGAGGGCAAUGAGUGGUACGAGAGCACCGAGCGUCGCAUCCACGAGGCCUCCGCCAAGGGCCUCCUCUAACUCGGCAUGGGAGUCUCCGGCGGCGACGAGGGCGCCCGCCACGGCCCCAGUUUCAUGCCCCGCGGGUUUCACCAGGCGUAUUCCAACAGAUGUGUUGAAGAACAUCGGCGGACUUGAGUGGAUUGAAGGAGGAGAGGGAGAGCGCCGAGGAGUAGACUAUCCAGGCUAUAGAUUGCGCUCUUCUCG
RNAcentral lists this long non-coding RNA (426 nucleotides) under Rosa chinensis. Its description in RNAcentral is "sRNA RchiOBHm_Chr4g0406041". Lineage: Eukaryota; Viridiplantae; Streptophyta; Magnoliopsida; Rosales; Rosaceae. The record is from RNAcentral.